This 253-nucleotide ribosomal RNA is filed under the name uncultured bacterium. RNAcentral describes it as "partial 16S ribosomal RNA". It matches the Rfam family "Bacterial small subunit ribosomal RNA", at positions 524 to 776 of the family's 1533-position model. The record is from RNAcentral.
UACGAGGGGUGCAAGCGUUGCUCGGAAUUAUUGGGCGUAAAGGGUAGGUAGGUGGUCUCAUUUGUCUGGGGUGAAAGCCUCGAGCUUAACUCGAGAAGUGCCUCGGAAACGGUGAGACUAGAGUCUUGGAGAGGGUCGUGGAAUUCCCGGUGUAGCGGUGAAAUUCGUAGAUAUCAGAAGGAACAUCAGUGGCGAAAGCGGCUUCCUGGUCCAGUACCGACGUUCAGGCACGAAAGCGUGGGGAGCAAACAGG